Molecule: ribosomal RNA, 581 nt
Filed under: Salmonella enterica subsp. enterica serovar Bareilly
Lineage: Bacteria; Pseudomonadati; Pseudomonadota; Gammaproteobacteria; Enterobacterales; Enterobacteriaceae
Description: partial 23S ribosomal RNA
Rfam family: Bacterial large subunit ribosomal RNA
Source: RNAcentral
ACGGGGCUAAACCAUGCACCGAAGCUGCGGCAGCGACGUUUAUGCGUUGUUGGGUAGGGGAGCGUUCUGUAAGCCUGCGAAGGUGGCCUGUGAGGGUUGCUGGAGGUAUCAGAAGUGCGAAUGCUGACAUAAGUAACGAUAAAGCGGGUGAAAAGCCCGCUCGCCGGAAGACCAAGGGUUCCUGUCCAACGUUAAUCGGGGCAGGGUGAGUCGACCCCUAAGGCGAGGCCGAAAGGCGUAGUCGAUGGGAAACGGGUUAAUAUUCCCGUACUUGGUGUUACUGCGAAGGGGGGACGGAGAAGGCUAUGUUGGCCGGGCGACGGUUGUCCCGGUUUAAGCGUGUAGGCUGGUUUUCCAGGCAAAUCCGGAAAAUCAAGGCUGAGGCGUGACGACGAGGCACUACGGUGCUGAAGCAACAAAUGCCCUGCUUCCAGGAAAAGCCUCUAAGCAUCAGGUAACAUCAAAUCGUACCCCAAACCGACACAGGUGGUCAGGUAGAGAAUACCAAGGCGCUUGAGAGAACUCGGGUGAAGGAACUAGGCAAAAUGGUGCCGUAACUUCGGGAGAAGGCACGCUGACAC